ACUUUUCCCUCCUUUUGCUCCUGGUCUCUUCUGCUCCUGCACUCAAAGCUGGGGCCCACUGUGGCUCACAGUGGAGAUGCGGGCCCCAGGGGAACCAGAUCCCCAGAACCAUCAAGGAUAAGUUAGAACCUUUCAGAACCGAACGGCUGCAAACAGACCUUUUGUAACACAUUUUUCUUGAUUUUCAGAUCUUUUAGAGCCAAACUGGAUGAGGACCAUGCCCUGGCUGUGAGACUGAGGAAAAGACCCCCUGACUGCAGAGCUGCAAAACUGGAUGAAACUCAAGCUUUCCAAAUGGACAUGGAAAAAGCUUUGCAGGCGACUGUCUUUGGCAGGUGGGCAGCUGUCCACAGAUUACCACUUCGACCACACAUGCUGCUUAGAUCCUGUUCUGUGCCACUGGCCUGCCCACCAGCCUCUCAGUUACUGCUGGGAGCCACAAACUAGGUCCGUCUCUCUGCUUCACUCCCCCUGGCUUGGUCCCCAUGCUUGGCGGUAAGCACUUCUCUCUCUCUCUCUCUACCAUUAUCCUGUGCUAUGUCUAACUACCUACCUCUCAACAGUAGAUCAAACAAGCCCUGGUCACACGUACUCCCUUGGCAGGUCUUCGCUGUGGAGAACCCUUUUCUAUUUCUCCUGUCAUUAAUUUAAUUAGCGCCUUAAACUGCCUUUGCCUCCCAA
Molecule: long non-coding RNA, 681 nt
Organism: Cyprinodon tularosa
Lineage: Eukaryota; Metazoa; Chordata; Actinopteri; Cyprinodontiformes; Cyprinodontidae
Exons: 3
Source: RefSeq, a predicted model, not a curated record